AGGAUCCUGAGUACGGCGGAACACGAGAAAUUCCGUCGGAAUCCGCGGGGACCAUCCCGCAAGGCUAAAUACUCCCUAGUGACCGAUAGUGAACCAGUACCGUGAGGGAAAGGUGAAAAGCACCCCGGAAGGGGAGUGAAAUAGAUCCUGAAACCGUGUGCCUACAACAAGUCAAAGCUCGUUAAUGAGUGAUGGCGUGCCUUUUGUAGAAUGAACCGGCGAGUUACGAUUGCAUGCGAGGUUAAGUCGAAGAGACGGAGCCGCAGCGAAAGCGAGUCUGAAUAGGGCGAAUGAGUAUGUAGUCGUAGACCCGAAACCAUGUGAUCUACCCAUGUCCAGGUUGAAGGUGCGGUAAAACGCACUGGAGGACCGAACCCACGUACGUUGAAAAGUGCGGGGAUGAGGUGUGGGUAGCGGAGAAAUUCCAAACGAACUUGGAGAUAGCUGGUUCUCUCCGAAAUAGCUUUAGGGCUAGCCUCGGAAUUGAGAAUGAUGGAGGUAGAGCACUGUUUGGACUAGGGGCCCAUCUCGGGUUACCGAAUUCAGAUAAACUCCGAAUGCCAUUCAUUUAUAUCCGGGAGUCAGACUGCGAGUGAUAAGAUCCGUAGUCGAAAGGGAAACAGCCCAGACCACCAGCUAAGGUCCCAAAAUAUAUGUUAAGUGGAAAAGGAUGUGGGGUUGCACAGACAACUAGGAUGUUGGCUUAGAAGCAGCCACCAUUUAAAGAGUGCGUAAUAGCUCACUAGUCGAGUGACCCUGCGCCGAAAAUGUACCGGGGCUAAACAUAUUACCGAAGCUGUGGACUACACCAUUAGGUGUAGUGGUAGGAGAGCGUUCUAAGGGCGUUGAAGGUCGAUCGUGAGGACGGCUGGAGCGCUUAGAAGUGAGAAUGCCGGUAUGAGUAGCGAAAGACAGGUGAGAAUCCUGUCCACCGUAUGACUAAGGUUUCCUGGGGAAGGCUCGUCCGCCCAGGGUUAGUCGGGACCUAAGCCGAGGCCGAUAGGCGUAGGCGAUGGACAACAGGUUGAUAUUCCUGUACCAGUUGUUUUUGUUUGAGCAAUGGAGGGACGCAGUAGGCUAAGGAAUGCAUGCGAUUGGAAGUGCAUGUCCAAGCAAUGAGUCUUGAGUAGAGUUAAAUGCUUUACUCUUUAAGGACAAGUUGUGACGGGGAGCGAAAUAAUAGUAGCGAAGUUCCUGAUGUCACACUGCCAAGAAAAGCUUCUAGUGAGAAAACAACUGCCCGUACCGUAAACCGACACAGGUAGUCGAGGAGAGUAUCCUAAGGUGAGCGAGCGAACUCUCGUUAAGGAACUCGGCAAAAUGACCCCGUAAC
RNAcentral lists this ribosomal RNA (1333 nucleotides) under Enterococcus faecalis. RNAcentral describes it as "partial 23S ribosomal RNA". It matches the Rfam family "Bacterial large subunit ribosomal RNA", at positions 402 to 1734 of the family's 2925-position model. Lineage: Bacteria; Bacillati; Bacillota; Bacilli; Lactobacillales; Enterococcaceae. The record is from RNAcentral.